Molecule: ribosomal RNA, 385 nt
Filed under: uncultured bacterium
Lineage: Bacteria
Description: bacterial SSU rRNA
Rfam family: Bacterial small subunit ribosomal RNA
Source: RNAcentral
AUUGAACGCUGGCGGAAUGCUUUACACAUGCAAGUCGAACGGCAGCACGGGGCAACCUGGUUGCGAGUGGCGAACGGGUGAGUAAUACAUCGGAACGUGCCCAAUCGUGGGGGAUAACGUAGCGAAAGUUACGCUAAUACCGCAUACGAUCUACGGAUGAAAGCGGGGGAUCGCAAGACUUCGCGCGAAUGGAGCGGCCGAUGUCAGAUUAGGUAGUUGGUGGGGUAAAGGCUCACCAAGCCGACGAUCUGUAGCUGGUCUGAGAGGACACCAGCCACACUGGGACUGAGACACGGCCCAGACUCCUACGGGAGGCAGCAGUGGGGAAUUUUGGACAAUGGGCGCAAGCCUGAUCCAGCCAUUCCGCGUGCAGGAUGAAGGCCUC